This is a long non-coding RNA of Hordeum vulgare subsp. vulgare (domesticated barley), 142 nucleotides long. RefSeq lists it as uncharacterized. NCBI's taxonomy places the organism in Eukaryota, Viridiplantae, Streptophyta, Magnoliopsida, Poales, Poaceae. The transcript is spliced from 2 exons. The record is from RefSeq and is a predicted model, not a curated record.
GUGUCAAGUGGGUCCCAUGCUGAGAAGCUUGGGCUCCGUAGAGGUGAUAUUAUCUGUUGUUUUGAGGGAGAGGAAGUUUCUACUACAGUCCAGUUGGAGAAAAUGAUGCUGGAUAUAUGCAAGAAUCGUUUUGUGGGAGGAA